UUCGGCCUGGUGGCGAGUGCGACCGGGUGAGUAAUACAUCGGAACGUACCCAGAAGUGGGGCAUAACGUAGCGAAAGUUACGCUUAAUCCGCAUACGUUCUACGGAAGAAAGUGGGGGAUCGCAAGACCUCAUGCUUUUGGAACGGCCGAUGUCUGAUUAGCUAGUUGGUGAGGUAAAGGCUCACCAAGGCGACGAUCAGUAGCUGGUCUGAGAGGCGUCCGCCGCCUGGAACUAAGACUCGGUCCAGACUCCUACGGGAGGCAGCAGUGGGGAAUUUUGGACAAUGGGCGCAAGCCUGAUCCAGCAAUGCCGCGUGAGUGAAGAAGGCCUUCGGGUUGUAAAGCUCUUUUGUCUAGGGAAGAAACGGCGUUGGCUAAUAUCCUUUGCUAAUGGCGGU
Molecule: ribosomal RNA, 398 nt
Filed under: uncultured bacterium
Lineage: Bacteria
Description: bacterial SSU rRNA
Rfam family: Bacterial small subunit ribosomal RNA
Source: RNAcentral